GACGAACGCUGGCGGCGUGCUUAACACAUGCAAGUCGAACGGCAGGGCCCUGCUUUUGUGGGGUUCUCGAGUGGCGAACGGGUGCGUAACACGUGAGUAACCUGCCCUUGACUUUGGGGUAACUUCAGGUAACUGGGGCUAAUACCGGAUCGGAGCUCCUGCUGCAUUGUGGGGGUUGGAACUUUUCGGCUGUUGGGGUUGGACUCGCGGCUUAUCAGCUUGUUGGUUGGGUAGUUGCUUACCAAGGCUUUGACGGGUAGCCGGCCUGAGAGGGUGACCGGCCACAAUGGGACUGAGAGACGGACCAGACUCGUACGGGAGGCAACAGGGGGGAAUAUUGCACAAUGGGCGGGAGCGUGAGGAAGCAACGCCGCGGGCGGGAUGACGGCCUUUGGGGUGAAAAAAGCUUUAGCCUGUGACGAAGCGUGAGUGACGGUAAUGGGUAAAGAAGCACCGGCUAACUACGUG
RNAcentral lists this ribosomal RNA (468 nucleotides) under uncultured bacterium. RNAcentral's name for it is "partial 16S ribosomal RNA". It matches the Rfam family "Bacterial small subunit ribosomal RNA", at positions 28 to 507 of the family's 1533-position model. The record is from RNAcentral.